CGUACGGGUGCGUAACGCGUAUACAAUCUGCCUUUCACAUAGGGAUAGCCGAAGAAAUUUGGAUUAAUACCUAAUGGUAUAUAGGGAUAGGCAUCAUUUUUAUAUUAAAGCUGAGGCGGUGAAAGAUGAGUAUGCGUUCUAUUAGCUAGUUGGAGAGGUAACGGCUCCCCAAGGCUACGAUAGAUAGGGGUUCUGAGAGGGAUAUCCCCCACACUGGUACUGAGAUACGGACCAG
RNAcentral lists this ribosomal RNA (235 nucleotides) under uncultured Flavobacteriales bacterium. RNAcentral's name for it is "partial 16S ribosomal RNA". It matches the Rfam family "Bacterial small subunit ribosomal RNA", at positions 99 to 334 of the family's 1533-position model. Lineage: Bacteria; Pseudomonadati; Bacteroidota; Flavobacteriia; Flavobacteriales. The record is from RNAcentral.